UCCCUUUGAUCUUUUUGCUCAGUAUUUGAUUAAAUGUUUGGAUGUAGGCUGAACUACCUAAUCAGAGGCAGUUCAUAAUAACUCUGUAUUACUGCUAUGUGGUUCAAUUUUCCUCUGUAAUCUUGCAGACCAGGAUCUAAGGACUUGGAGUUGGUUUCAUUCAUAAAUGAGAGGACAUAUAAGUGGUGGCUACAGAGGGAGAGUACUUCAUACUUGUUAGCCAAGACUAAUGUCGACGGAGCAUUUCAGAUACGCAUGCUGUUAAAGAUGCUAAAAAGCACCAUGAGGGAGAUUUUACAGGCUUGGACAAACAAGUAUCAGUGUGAUCUGAACACAGGAGUAGUUUUGCUAAGAUUAUCACUGUCAGCUUUCAUGAAGAAAGAACUAAGGAGAACUGAAGUACAACUCCUACGCUGCUGAAGCAGUCAGUCAUGUAGUGUGGAAAAAAAGAAAAAAGUACCUGCCAGUGGUGGCUACCUCAUUUUUAUAUCUAGCUUCUCCAGUUUUCUCAAGUCUUCAGCACUACAAGAAAUUCUCUUAGAGGAACAGAUGUGCUGGAGAGUUAGCAAUGAAAAACAGAGGGUUUCACUUUAGGUUAUUCAGCUGAGUAUGUUUCAUCUGGAUAGGCAUGAUAAGUCGUCAUCUGAUGAAUAUUUGCCUGCCUUUUUUAAAACAGAUGGGAAAUAUAGUGGUGUUCCUAGGAGAAAAAAUAUUAUUACUUUGGAAAUUUCUGCUGGCCCUUAGCAUGGAAAUAAAGGAAUUACUCUAGAUGAUUUGAGAAAAAUAUGCUACAACAUUGGCUUGCUGAAGCUGGAGGGUCUGAGCCAUAGGAAAACAGAGGAAAACCUGGCUGGAUAAAAGUCAGAUUUCCUUGUUUCUAUUUGUAAACAUUAAUCAGAAGCUUUGCUUGAUGUGUUACACUUGUGAGAGGAGUGGAAAUAUCCCCAUUACUCAACACUUCAUCUCCUCAGUUGGUGCUAGCAGAACUCACAGUGCGGUGAGAUCUAUCCAUGAUCACCAGAGGCUCUUCUAGUGGGGAAGAAGCGGCAAGUUGAUGAUGUGAGUCAAAACUUGCUGGUGGCUGAGGGGCACCUGGGAAACCUUGCUGUGAUUACAAGACUCUCCAGCCUAGUGCAGGCAAGACCUUGGCCCUUGGUGUACUGCCAGGUGACUUGCUCCUGUUCCCUAAGAUGAGAAGAAAGGACUGAAUAUGAGAAAUGAAUAUGCAUUUGGCACGUGACUGGAUCCACUUCUCAGCUGUUAGAAGCCUCGCUUUUUAUACUGUAUAAUACUUAUGACAGCAGAAAGAUCAAACUUACAGAAGAGAUAUUUGUUAGAGCUGGUGAGAAGCAGCCACUUAGCAUUGAGUGAAAGGCUGUACAGAUAAAGAUGCUGCAUUGAAAAAUUCUGAUAAAAACCACACUGAACAGUAGGAAGCAUUUAACAAUCACUGUGCUUAAUGCCCUGUCAUAAUUUACAUAGAGAGCUGUUCAAAAAGGAGAUGGAAUUACAAUGGAGGAACCUGGCAAAAUCCUGAAAGCUGCUCUUCUUUUAGCCUUCAAGCAGGAAUGCAUCUGGAAUGUAUAUUUCCACAUUGUUCUCUAUAAAGCUUUAAUUUUGAAUUCACAUAUGGUACUUAAUUUGCAUUUUUCAUACAGUCAUUAAUGCUUUGGUGAACUCAAAAGGUCUAGAAAAGUAUUCAAAGCCUUGGAUACUUCCCAGAAAUGUGCUUAUGCUGUACUGGCCUGAAAUUCAGCUUGAAAUCUACAGAUCAGAUGCUGACCAGGGAUUUUGAUUCUUUCUUUGUGAGGUAUUUUAAUAAUAGAAGGCUUUUUCUUGGGCUUAUUUUAUAUUUUGGACUAGAUUUCAUGCCUCUGAACCAUUUUGCUAUUGAUAUCUUUUCAGUCACGUUACUAGUAAGGACCAAAUACAAAGUUGAUGGCAAAAGAACAGGAUGCUACAGGGAACUGAAGGUCAAUGUAUCUCGAAAGAAAAGCAGUAGAUUUAGGGAUUGAAACUACCCUGGAAAAAAGCUUCUGUCUUAAUCUAAGUCAGGAAAAGUGAGUUCUGGCCAUGGUAAAGUCAACAAUAGGCUGCUAUCCACAUCAAGGAAAUACAGCAGCAAUCACAAGACUUGUAAGUAAGAAGGUACGAUAGGUGAAAUACCCAAAUAACAGAUUCUGGCUCAUUUUCAGGGAAGUGCACAAGAUCAACAGGAUUUACUUGCUAAGUUUGGGAUUUACUAUUGACCAGACAGUCAUCCAGUAGUGGGGACAGGACAACAACCUUAACUAGCAGCAGAAAAGCACUGGAUAGCAUGGCAUGCUGUCUUUACCAUGUGGUGGAUAGUUAUUUGGUAGGAAGAUGUGACUAGCUGAAGGCAAAUCUUAGAGAAACAGCGUAAUCUUUCUUAGUUCCCCAGCCCAAAAUAAAUCACAAGCUAUCAUGAGAAAACUCAUUCUCCUUUUUUGUCUCCUAUUACAUGAAGCAAUGAAUGCUUUCAAAUAUGAGAGAGGAACAGUGAGAUAGCCGAUGAGAGACCAGUAGGACUUCCUCGCCUCAUACUCCUCACCCAGGGAUAGUGCAGUGUCUGUUCUGUUACUCUUAUCUUUUAUCUGUGCAGCUGUGAUUUUCAGAUCUUCAUCUACUGGAGCUACUCUGCUGAGUGGGAGUAGGUGAUUUGUUAAGUGCUUGUCUUGGAGUAAACUACUUGGUCAUGCGAGUUAGUCUGACAAAAGAACAAAGAAGAAAGUAAUUGGUAAU
Tympanuchus pallidicinctus (lesser prairie-chicken) is the source of this 2763-nucleotide long non-coding RNA. RefSeq lists it as uncharacterized. The transcript has 4 exons. The record is from RefSeq and is a predicted model, not a curated record. NCBI's taxonomy places the organism in Eukaryota, Metazoa, Chordata, Aves, Galliformes, Phasianidae.